GUGGGGAAUAUUGGGCAAUGGGCGAAAGCCUGACCCAGCAACGCCGCGUGAAGGAAGAAGGUCUUCGGAUCGUAAACUUCUAUCCUUGGUGAAGAUAAUGACGGUAGCCGAGAAGGAAGCCCCGGCUAACUACGUGCCAGCAGCCGCGGUAAUACGUAGGGGGCAAGCGUUGUCCGGAAUGAUUGGGCGUAAAGGGCGCGUAGGCGGCCUGGUAAGUCUGGAGUGAAAGUCAUGCUUUUAAGGUGGGAAUUGCUUUGGAUACUGUCGGGCUUGAGUGUAGGAGAGGUAAGUGGAAUUCCCGGUGUAGCGGUGAAAUGCGUAGAGAUCGGGAGGAACACCAGUGGCGAAGGCGACUUACUGGACUGUAACUGACGCUGAGGCGCGAAAGUGUGGGGAGCAAACAGGAUUAGAUACCCGGGUAGUCC
RNAcentral lists this ribosomal RNA (425 nucleotides) under uncultured bacterium. RNAcentral describes it as "partial 16S ribosomal RNA". It matches the Rfam family "Bacterial small subunit ribosomal RNA", at positions 354 to 796 of the family's 1533-position model. The record is from RNAcentral.